ACCCUUUAAUGUUUGAUGUUCUAACGUGGACCCGUGAUCCGGGUUGCGGACAGUGUCUGGUGGGUAGUUUGACUGGGGCGGUCUCCUCCUAAAGAGUAACGGAGGAGCACGAAGGUUGGCUAAUCCUGGUCGGACAUCAGGAGGUUAGUGCAAUGGCAUAAGCCAGCUUGACUGCGAGCGUGACGGCGCGAGCAGGUGCGAAAGCAGGUCAUAGUGAUCCGGUGGUUCUGAAUGGAAGGGCCAUCGCUCAACGGAUAAAAGGUACUCCGGGGAUAACAGGCUGAUACCGCCCAAGAGUUCAUAUCGACGGCGGUGUUUGGCACCUCGAUGUCGGCUCAUCACAUCCUGGGGCUGAAGUAGGUCCCAAGGGUAUGGCUGUUCGCCAUUUAAAGUGGUACGCGAGCUGGGUUUAGAACGUCGUGAGACAGUUCGGUCCCUAUCUGCCGUGGGCGCUGGAGAACUGAGGGGGGCUGCUCCUAGUACGAGAGGACCGGAGUGGACGCAUCACUGGUGUUCGGGUUGUCAUGCCAAUGGCACUGCCCGGUAGCUAAAUGCGGAAGAGAUAAGUGCUGAAAGCAUCUAAGCACGAAACUUGCCCCGAGAUGAGUUCUCCCUGAGACUUAA
This 624-nucleotide ribosomal RNA is filed under the name Salmonella enterica. RNAcentral describes it as "partial 23S ribosomal RNA". It matches the Rfam family "Bacterial large subunit ribosomal RNA", at positions 2202 to 2823 of the family's 2925-position model. RNAcentral also lists the same sequence under 1 other name. Lineage: Bacteria; Pseudomonadati; Pseudomonadota; Gammaproteobacteria; Enterobacterales; Enterobacteriaceae. The record is from RNAcentral.